UACGGAGGAUGCGAGCGUUAUCCGGAUUUAUUGGGUUUAAAGGGUGCGUAGGCGGACGCUUAAGUCAGCGGUAAAAUUGCGGGGCUCAACCUCGUCGAGCCGUUGAAACUGGGUGCCUUGAGUGGGCGAGAAGUACGCGGAAUGCGUGGUGUAGCGGUGAAAUGCAUAGAUAUCACGCAGAACCCCGAUUGCGAAGGCAGCGUACCGGCGCCCUACUGACGCUGAAGCACGAAGGCGUGGGUAUCGAACAGG
This 252-nucleotide ribosomal RNA is filed under the name uncultured bacterium. Its description in RNAcentral is "partial 16S ribosomal RNA". It matches the Rfam family "Bacterial small subunit ribosomal RNA", at positions 524 to 776 of the family's 1533-position model. The record is from RNAcentral.